UGUAGUGUGUCAUAUGAUGUAUUAUGCAAGUUUUGACUUGAAUUUUGACAUGCCAAUUGUAUAUAUGCAUCAUGUGACACACACCAGAAUCUAUGAUGUGUUUUCCUCUUUUUUUUCUGUCUUAACUAAUAAAACCACUUUCAGACAUUAUUUCUCACCUCAUAUAUUUCUAUUAAUAACGGAAUCUAGGUAAACCAAAACAAACCAAACUAAAUCACACAUAAAAUUUAAACAUCUCAGACAUUUUCAUUUUCAUUUUGGGAAAGCAAACAAAAAAAAAUCCUCCUCCUCCUCCUUCUUCUUCUACCCCUGCGCACUCUUCCAUUCACAUUUCUGCAAAACCCUAAAUCAGGGUUUUUCGUUGCCUCGGCUUUUCUAUUACUCGGAAUGAGGAAUCGGAGAUGGUUUUGGUGAUGUGAAAUGGGAAACGGUGUGUGGACGGGUCGGUGGUUUCGGACCAGCCUGGCUCUUUUGCACCCUAAUGGCAAGCACGUGUCUUGGUCGAUGGUUUGUGGGGUAAUGCUAUUCGGGUUGGGCCUGAUUUCCCUCUUGACGGGUCACGUCGCCUCUCAUCUCGAAUGGUACUCUCACCGACUCCACCGCCGUACCCUCUCCACACUGGAUGGAGGUGAGGAUGAGCCAAUUGAUAUUUGGCAAUCGCAGUAUUCUAAAUACUACUAUGGAUGCGAAGAGAGGGGGCGGCAUUUUGGUCCUGCUGUACGUGAGCGCAAGUCCAAUGGCUACUUGCUGAUUGCUACAAGUGGAGGACUUAACCAACAAAGAACUGGGAUAACAGACGCAGUUGUGGUUGCAAGAAUUCUUAAUGCUACACUAGUUGUUCCUGAGUUGGAUCAUCACUCUUUCUGGAAGGAUGACAGUGACUUCGCCAAUAUUUUUGAUGUGAAUUGGUUCAUUACAUAUCUUGCAAAAGAUGUUACUAUUAUUAAAAGAGUUCCUGAUAAGAUCAUGCGGUCUAUGGAAAAGCCCCCUUAUACAAUGCGUGUCCCAAGGAAAUCAGAACCUGAAUAUUAUCUUGAUCAAGUUUUGCCAAUACUCUUGAGAAGACGGGUUCUACAAUUGACUAAAUUUGAUUAUAGACUUGCAAAUAAUCUUGAUGAUGAGCUGCAAAAAUUACGCUGCCGUGUUAAUUAUCAUGCUUUGAGAUUUACAAAACCUAUACGACAACUCGGUCAAAGAGUUGUAAUGAAAAUGCGUAAGAUGGCAAGCCGUUAUGUAGCAGUCCAUUUGAGGUUUGAGCCAGAUAUGCUAGCAUUUUCAGGUUGCUAUUUUGGUGGGGGUGAGAAAGAAAGACAUGAGCUCGGUGAAAUCAGGAAAAGGUGGACAACAUUACCUGAUUUGAGCCCUGAUGGAGAGCGAAAGCGUGGGAAAUGUCCUCUUACUCCUCAUGAAGUGGGUUUAAUGCUGCGAGCGCUGGGUUUUGCAAAUGACACAUACCUCUAUGUUGCAUCAGGAGAGAUAUAUGGUGGAGAUGAAACCAUGCAGCCUCUCAAAGAUCUCUUCCCCAACAUUUAUACAAAGGAGAUGCUUGCUGAAGAAGAGCUGAAACCUUUUCUUCCAUUCUCCUCCCGCCUUGCUGCUAUUGACUACAUCGUUUGUGAUGAAAGUAAUGUGUUUGUCACUAACAACAAUGGUAACAUGGCCAAAAUCCUAGCUGGACGUAGGAGGUAUAUGGGUCACAAAAGAACCAUCAGACCUAAUGCAAAGAAGCUUAGUGCACUAUUCACAUCAAGGCACGAGAUGGUCUGGGAUACAUUUGCAAGCAAGGUUAAAGCAUGCCAAAGAGGAUUCAUGGGAGAGCCAGAUGAGAUGAGACCUGGCCGAGGAGAGUUUCACGAAUACCCAAGCACGUGUGUGUGUGAGAAACCGUUUAUGGAUGAUCUGAGUCAAGAUGGAACCCGUCCGAAGAAAGUGUUGUAAGCAGACAAUGAAAUUGUUGCCGGCGAAGAAAGUGUUGUACUAAGGUAAUUGGGAGAAGGGCCAGAAAGAGAUAAAUAAACAUGAGUAAAUUUGGUACAGCGUCCUUAAUCGGAUAGAGAAGUAAGACCUCAUUAAUGGCAAGAAAUGCUCUUCGGCUACUCGUCCAUUUUAAAGUCUGAUUUGGCAACCAUCAAAUUAGUGAUAAGAUUGAAAAGAGAGAUAACGAAGUACAACGGGAGAUGAACGCAAGCUGAUAUUCAAAGGAGAAGAGGAACAUGACUUUACCAUUUGAUCAUAUCAACAAACCUUUCUAUAAACAAGUCAACAUGGAUAAAUUCCAUAUACAGCCUACAGGAUCAAAUUCAACCAUUCUGUAAACAACAUAAAAUCGAUAUUAACAUCUACUGGACUAGUCUGCCUAAAACAAAGGAAACAAGAAUUUCCAUUCCUAUGUUCCCUAUUAUAAAUAAAUAUACACAUCUAUGCCGAGUG
Molecule: RNA transcript, 2430 nt
Organism: Vigna angularis (adzuki bean)
Lineage: Eukaryota; Viridiplantae; Streptophyta; Magnoliopsida; Fabales; Fabaceae
Gene name: O-fucosyltransferase 29
Exons: 10
Source: RefSeq, a predicted model, not a curated record